AAAUUGAAGAGUUUGAUCAUGGCUCAGAUUGAACGCUGGCGGCAGGCCUAACACAUGCAAGUCGAACGGUAACAGGAAGCAGCUUGCUGCUUCGCUGACGAGUGGCGGACGGGUGAGUAAUGUCUGGGAAACUGCCUGAUGGAGGGGGAUAACUACUGGAAACGGUAGCUAAUACCGCAUAACGUCGCAAGACCAAAGAGGGGGACCUUCGGGCCUCUUGCCAUCGGAUGUGCCCAGAUGGGAUUAGCUAGUAGGUGGGGUAACGGCUCACCUAGGCGACGAUCCCUAGCUGGUCUGAGAGGAUGACCAGCCACACUGGAACUGAGACACGGUCCAGACUCCUACGGGAGGCAGCAGUGGGGAAUAUUGCACAAUGGGCGCAAGCCUGAUGCAGCCAUGCCGCGUGUAUGAAGAAGGCCUUCGGGUUGUAAAGUACUUUCAGCGGGGAGGAAGGCGAUAAGG
Molecule: ribosomal RNA, 462 nt
Filed under: Pseudomonas sp. PAH14
Lineage: Bacteria; Pseudomonadati; Pseudomonadota; Gammaproteobacteria; Pseudomonadales; Pseudomonadaceae
Description: bacterial SSU rRNA
Rfam family: Bacterial small subunit ribosomal RNA
Source: RNAcentral